CGUAGCUCAGUUGGAUAGAGCACUCGCCUUCUAAGCGAGUGGUCGCGGGUUCGAAUCCCUCCG
Molecule: transfer RNA, 63 nt
Filed under: uncultured Bulleidia sp.
Lineage: Bacteria; Bacillati; Bacillota; Erysipelotrichia; Erysipelotrichales; Erysipelotrichaceae
Rfam family: tRNA
About the family: Transfer RNA (tRNA) molecules are approximately 80 nucleotides in length. Their secondary structure includes four short double-helical elements and three loops (D, anti-codon, and T loops).
Source: RNAcentral